GCAGCCCCUUGGGAUUGGUCUCUCACGCUCAUCUUUUCUUUCCUUUCUUCUCAUGAAGGCCGAAGCUUGCUAAGGAAAAAGGGCAAGGAAUUUCUUGAAGAUUUAGGCAAAACUAGUAAAAUUUUAUCAUACAAAACUUAUAGCUUUAGGUCUUGUGAUCCUAAAUCUCCAUUCUUUUCACCUUGGAAAGUUUUAUAUCUUGAGUUAGCCUUCUCUAAAGCGGGCUGGUACUGUUCAUCCAAGAUGUAGAAGUUUGGUUUUCUUCAAGUCCUUAAGUUGGAAUAUGCUGUUUAUGUUCAAGUGAAGCUAUUUAAGAGUGAAAUCGGACGAAGUAGGUGGACGAACAACUUGUAGACAACCAAGUUACGGUGUAUUAAAUAGCAAGUUAGCAGCAGGAAAGAGGUGACAGGUAUCGCAGCAGUUGACGAUCGUUCUCGGGGCAAGAGGUCCGUGGUUGAUGAGUAGAUCGGAGCAUAGAUGUUGCUUGCUUACUUUGGGAGUCUGUUGUAUAUAUAUGUUAAACUGUGAUAUGGUUAUUUGAUAUUUUGUCAAUGCAUGGUUGUUAACUGGGUUUUUUUAGAGGCUAUGCUAGCCUGUAAACAGAUCUAUAUAUUUGUGAUACUGUUAUGUAUUAUGUUUAUGUAGGUUGACGUAGGAUGUUGUAGUUAUGGCACAGAGCUACCUUUUGAUAUGACAUAUAUAGAGUUAUGGAUUUUGUCUGUAUACUGAUUU
Gastrolobium bilobum is the source of this 732-nucleotide long non-coding RNA. RefSeq lists it as uncharacterized. The transcript is spliced from 3 exons. Lineage: Eukaryota; Viridiplantae; Streptophyta; Magnoliopsida; Fabales; Fabaceae. The record is from RefSeq and is a predicted model, not a curated record.